This 538-nucleotide ribosomal RNA is filed under the name Lonepinella koalarum. Its description in RNAcentral is "partial 23S ribosomal RNA". It matches the Rfam family "Bacterial large subunit ribosomal RNA", at positions 698 to 1223 of the family's 2925-position model. The record is from RNAcentral. Lineage: Bacteria; Pseudomonadati; Pseudomonadota; Gammaproteobacteria; Pasteurellales; Pasteurellaceae.
AGUUGCAAGGUAUAGACCCGAAACCCGGUGAUCUAGCCAUGGGCAGGUUGAAGGUUGGGUAACACUAACUGGAGGACCGAACCGACUAAUGUUGAAAAAUUAGCGGAUGACUUGUGGCUGGGGGUGAAAGGCCAAUCAAACCGGGAGAUAGCUGGUUCUCCCCGAAAUCUAUUUAGGUAGAGCCUUAUGUGAAUACCUUCGGGGGUAGAGCACUGUUUCGGCUAGGGGUCCAUCCCGGAUUACCAACCCGAUGCAAACUGCGAAUACCGAAGAGUAAUGCAUAGGAGACACACGGUGGGUGCUAACGUCCAUCGUGAAGAGGGAAACAACCCAGACCGCCAGCUAAGGUCCCAAAGUCUAUAUUAAGUGGGAAACGAAGUGGGAAGGCUUAGACAGCUAGGAUGUUGGCUUAGAAGCAGCCAUCAUUUAAAGAAAGCGUAAUAGCUCACUAGUCGAGUCGGCCUGCGCGGAAGAUGUAACGGGGCUAAAAUAUAGCACCGAAGCUGCGGCUUUCAGGGGUCAGAUUACAGGAGUCAGA